CCGCGCAGCACAAGCGCCGGCUGAGCUUGCGAUACAUGCAGCGCAACAAAACCAGUCCUGAACGCGUGUCUAUGCUUAUCUACGAGCCGAAGGCACAGAGGCACCUCGACAAGGGAGACUUUGAACACAGCGCAGUCAACUAGACAAGUUAAAUAAGUUGAUUCAAACGAAUUUAUUGAUUUAAGAUUCGGCGAUUUAGUACGAUUGUACUGUAACUUGUUUUAAUUUAAGUAUAUUAUAUUUAAAAUUAUUUUAUGGAGUACUGUUAACAGGGUAUAGAUAGAUUUAUUCUACGAAUUUAGCGACAUAAUUAAAAUUCGG
This is a long non-coding RNA of Ostrinia nubilalis (European corn borer), 321 nucleotides long. RefSeq lists it as uncharacterized. The record is from RefSeq and is a predicted model, not a curated record. The transcript has 3 exons. Lineage: Eukaryota; Metazoa; Arthropoda; Insecta; Lepidoptera; Crambidae.